This 474-nucleotide ribosomal RNA is filed under the name uncultured bacterium. RNAcentral describes it as "partial 16S ribosomal RNA". It matches the Rfam family "Bacterial small subunit ribosomal RNA", at positions 28 to 507 of the family's 1533-position model. The record is from RNAcentral.
GAUGAACGCUAGCGGCAGGCCUAACACAUGCCAGUCGAGGGAGGAGCUUUCGGGCUUCGACCGGCGUACGGGUGCGUAACGCGUAUACAAUCUGCCUUUCACAUAGGGAUAGCCCGAAGAAAUUUGGAUUAAUACCUAAUGGUAUAUAGGAGUGGCAUCACAUUUAUAUUAAAGCUGAGGCGGUGAAAGAUGAGUAUGCGUUCUAUUAGCUAGUUGGAGAGGUAACGGCUCCCCAAAGCGACGAUAGAUAGGGGUUCUGAGAGGGAUAUCCCCCACACUGGUACUGAGAUACGGACCAGACUCCUACGGGAGGCAGCAGUGAGGAAUAUUGGACAAUGGUCGGAAGACUGAUCCAGCCAUGCCGCGUGCAGGAAGACGGCCUUAUGGGUUGUAAACUGCUUUUGCAGGGGAAGAAUAAGGACUACGAGUAGUUUGAUGACGGUACUCUGCGAAUAAGCAUCGGCUAACUCCGUG